GCCAUGUUAGUUUAUUUUAAAAAUGUGUGAUUUGUAAUCAUGAGUAUGAAGUGGUU
This 56-nucleotide transfer RNA is filed under the name Toxascaris leonina. RNAcentral describes it as "tRNA-Thr". Lineage: Eukaryota; Metazoa; Nematoda; Chromadorea; Rhabditida; Ascarididae. The record is from RNAcentral.